RNAcentral lists this long non-coding RNA (667 nucleotides) under Olea europaea subsp. europaea. Lineage: Eukaryota; Viridiplantae; Streptophyta; Magnoliopsida; Lamiales; Oleaceae. The record is from RNAcentral.
CAGCCUCCUCCAAGAAGGGCUAAGAAAGUUCGUAUCAUGAUCUGAAGUAAUUAUCAUUGAAAGUCUUUGAAGUUUAACUUCUUUAAAAUAAAGAUUAGGAGUAUAUGAGGCAUCCAUAGUCUUUUUGCAAGGAAUAAAAUGUGCAAUCUUUGAAAAAUCGGUCAACCACAACGAAAAUAAAAUUAGUACUUGCGUCUUCGGCAAUCCAACAACAAAAUCCAUGCUAACUCUUCCCAAGGAGCAUCCAAAAUAGGCAAUGGAAUAUAAGCACCAGAAUUUUGACUUUUGCCCUUGCAAGUUUGAUAUAAAUGGCACCUCCUCAAAAACUUUGCAACAUCAUGAUAAGGAGUAGGCCAAAAAUAUUUUUCCUUAAUCAGCAACAAAGUUUCAUCUCUCACAAAAUGUCCACUAAGUCCCCACAAUGAAGUUCUUUGAUGAUGUACUCUCUAAGAGAACAUUUAUGAAUGCAUAGUUAGAAAACAAAUCAUGUAAAUAAUAAUCUUCAUAUUUAACUUUUUUACAUUUUUGAUAAAUCUCCUUGAAAUCAAAAUCCUCUAGAUACAUCCUCGUAUGGCAUCAAGACAUUCCAACUAAAUAGUCAUAGAAUUCAACAAUGCAACUCUCAUACUAAGUGCAUAGGCCACUUUGUUAUGUCUUCCACUCUUAG